This 305-nucleotide ribosomal RNA is filed under the name uncultured bacterium. RNAcentral's name for it is "bacterial SSU rRNA". It matches the Rfam family "Bacterial small subunit ribosomal RNA", at positions 337 to 657 of the family's 1533-position model. The record is from RNAcentral.
UCCUACGGGAGGCAGCAGUCGGGAAUAUUGCGCAAUGGAGGAAACUCUGACGCAGUGACGCCGCGUAUGGGAAGAAGGUUUUCGGAUUGUAAACCAUUGUCGUUAGGGAAGAAGAAGUGACAGUACCUAAGGAGGAAGCUCCGGCUAACUAUGUGCCAGCAGCCGCGGUAAUACACAGGGAGCAAGCGUUAUCCGGAUUUAUUGGGUGUAAAGGGUGCGUAGACGGGAAUUUAAGUUGGUUGUGAAAUCCCUCGGCUCAACUGAGGAACUGCAACCAAAACUGGAUUUCUUGAGUGCUGGAGAGG